Long non-coding RNA from Capsicum annuum, 1322 nucleotides. RefSeq lists it as uncharacterized. The record is from RefSeq and is a predicted model, not a curated record. The transcript has 2 exons. NCBI's taxonomy places the organism in Eukaryota, Viridiplantae, Streptophyta, Magnoliopsida, Solanales, Solanaceae.
GCACAUAAUGUUGUAACACAAACAGCGACCAACUUCGACAAACCAGAGACCACCGUAUCAAUGACAUACAGCCAAUAAACAACUCUAUAACAGCGACCAUAACAGCAAACCCGUCAAUAACAAACGGGUAACACAAAUGGCGUCCAACCUUAGCAAUAACACUCGAUAAAGCUGACAACUUCAACAACAUUAGGACAACCAGUGAAAACCCGUUACAACAACCAAACAGUGUCCAUCCUCAACCAAACGACGACAAAAUGCGUGCAACAGUAACAACAACAGUCUUCAACGACUAAAACCUACAGACAUCCCAUUUACUAUUUUACCCUCGAGGAUGGUCGUUCAUGGCUAAGGAGCAAAAAAAUUUCAUCUUUUUUCAGUUUCUGAUUCACCAAUUCGAGAAAAAAAAUUGACUUACCCCUUUGACCAACACAACCAACGCCUCUUUUUCUUAUAUUGUCUACUGAUUUUUGAAGUAUGAAGACUAUUGCUGAUUUUCUUCUUACUGUGGAAUUCAAAAACCCCUCAAAAAUUCAACUCAAACCUCCCUUUUGAAAUCCGAAAACCCUAAUUUGCCCCUCCCAAUUUCGCUUAUAAAUAGAUAGCAAGGGACAAGGGAGAGGAGGAGGAAAUUCUGGGGAAAUUUUUGAAGAUUCUGGGGGUGUAUGCCCCUAAUCUUACGUAACCAGAAUUUUCAAAAAGAAACUCUAUUGAAAACUCAAUCCGAUAAGAAAUUGAAAUUUCGAUGGGUCGAUAUUGAAAUUUCAGUGGAAGCAAUUUAAAUUCCGGUGGAAUUUUGUUCGACUAAAAGCUCAUUGUCCCCAUUUGUUGCCCUAACAAAGCUAGACAGUAAUCCUUAUGUUCUUUUGGCAUGAACCUCCGCACGAUGAGUCCAAAUGGACUUCCCACUUGCAUAUCCGUCGAGUCAAACUCCAUUUUAAGGUUUCAAAAUGAACCAAAGAACAAGAAACAAGGAUGGUAUACACCUGUAUACAGCAGAUAUAUGGGUCGUCCAAGUCAAAGGCGGAUAAUAUAUGUCAAAGUGCACAACGGAGCUGGGAGCGAAAAUACGAUAUUUACGGACUGAUAUAUAGUGUAUAUACACAAAACGGCAAGGAAAAGAGGUUGUGAUAUACAGCUUGUAUACGUGCAGGAAGAUGGACUUAAAGCCCAAUGGAUGAGCAGCCCAAUGUUGGGCCUAAAUGGGGCCCAACCUCAACUUUAAUCUUUUAUUGUCUUAUAAAUUGCAACUUAUAUGCUUGUCUAUUUGUAUUAGCACUAACUUUAAUUAAUUAAUCUAGUGUUUCCCCAUGUUGUUAAUA